Molecule: long non-coding RNA, 6282 nt
Filed under: Homo sapiens (human)
Lineage: Eukaryota; Metazoa; Chordata; Mammalia; Primates; Hominidae
Description: non-protein coding lnc-FAM182B-8:5
Source: RNAcentral
ACUGUUGCCGUGGAUGGGUCCCUGAGACUUUGCGAAGUAGGAGCCCUGUGUGAUAGUGCGUCAGAGUCGGGCCUGAGAGCAGUCCUGGCCAGGGCUUUAACAGGAUGGUCUCCGGAGCCUGGGAUUCUCGGAGGGCUGACCACCAGGAAGAAACCUCAGAAGGUAGAAACCUCAGGCGGAUCGCCGGGCGGCAGCGCGAGAUCCCAGCCUCAGGCCCGGAUUCGGGAAGGGUCGACGAAGCCCUUUUCCCAAUCUUCACUUCACCCGCCGCCGCCCCAGUCCCCGCAGCCGCCGCUCCGCGGUCAUUUUUCUUUUCUAUCUUUUUUUUUUUAAUAGUCGGAAUCUCACUCUGUCACUCAGUCGAGUGCAGUGGCGGGAUCUCAGCUGACUGCAAACUCUGCCGCCCAGGUUCAAGUGAUUCUCUUGCCUCCGCCUCCCGAGUACCUGGUACUAGAGGGAUUAGUCAGUGUCGGGGCUAAGACCAGUCCUGGCCAGGGCAUCAACAGGAUAGUCUCUGGAGGCCGGGAUUCACGGAGGGUCGUCCAGGAGGAAGAAACUGCAGGUGGAGGGCCGGGCAAGCAGCGCGGGAUCCCAGGUUCAGGCCUGCACGGACGGUGUGCCAGUGAGUCUCUUCAAAAAAGGAGAGGUUUGCUUGUGUGCCCGUGGGCUGCUCUCUCACUAGUGGGUUGUAGUCGUGGAGAGCAGAACCCUGAAAAUUCAGGGGCUGCCUGGGUGUAGGUGUUACCGUGCCACUGCUGUAUGUCUGUGCGUUUGUGUGUGUGCGUAUGUCUCUCUCUUGUUUCUCUCUCUCCCUUUUCUCACUCUUUUGCUCUGUGUCCCUGUGUGCGUGUGUGUGUGUGUGUGUUGGGACAUAUGUGCCCUGUGCGCCAGAGGACGGUAUCUUCUACGUCCGCCUUUCUUGUGGUCAGCCUCUCCCCGCGUCUCUGCCUGGCUUGCGUGGCCCGUUGUCAGUCAUUUUUCUGGCGGUUCCAGUUUAGGUUUGUGAAGGUCCAGAUGAGAUGGGGAGCUGCGUCUCUCUCAUAAGAAUUUAAAUCACCUCCCCACCCUGAGAGGCCUCUUUUCCAGGAUAAAGGCCUCCACCCCCAAGCCAAGGAUAAUAGCCUCACCGGAGAGGUCAUUGUCUACCUGCAGGAGCAGUGCAGAGCGACCUGAAAGAAGGUGGUUCUCAUUCGUCUCUCUCUUUCAUCUCCUUGAGAAAUCUAGCCACAGGGUAACACAGGUUUUGAGAGGAUGGGAACGGGACGUGGCAAGGAUCUGUGAGUGUGCAGGCUGUGUUUCACAUAUCAUUAAACAUAGUCUAGUGAGGGUUCUGCAGAUAACUGGCAUUUAAGUUUGUUUUAUUGAAUCAAGGAAAAAGAAAAAAUACUGAGAAAAAAAUGACGCAACUUGCCUGCCAGCCCAUCUGACUGUUACAAAUUUAAUAGUAAUUUUAAUUUAUCAUCUCAUGUAAAGGUCCUUGGCAGUGAUACCUAAUUUCCUAAGAUAGCCUUGCUUUAUAUUGUGUGAUUAAGAUGUCAUGCAUAUCAGAGUAUCUGGAAAUUCUUCCCAACGUCCUUUACAUACGUGAUUAAUCACAUUUCCAAAAUAACAUACCAAAACGAAUAACAGAAAAUCAUUUUAAGUUGUGGUUCCUUCAUGCACAAAACAUUUCAUGUGUGUCUGGCCCUCUUCCGGCCACAGAUUUCAUCUUAACCUAAGUAUUGAAAUGCUUGUGCCCUUUGAUUAAUUUUUCUGUGUAAAUACUUUGAUAAUAAGCUACAUUGAGGCCGGGUGCAGUGGCUCACACCUCUCAUCCCAGUUCUUUGGGAGGCUGAGGCCAGCGGAUCACGAAGUCAGGAGAUCAAGACCAUCCUGGCCAACACAGUGAAACCCUGUCUCUUCAAAUAUACAAAGAAUUAGCCAGAGAAGCAGGGAAUCUGGAAUUUUGGGUGAAAUGUCUGUUUCCAGAAGCUGAAAAUGCUCUCAAAUGGAAAAUUCAGGUAAGAUUGGGGAAGAUGCCAGGUGAUAGAAUCCACCCUGCCUCUGACAGCAUCCAAUCUGGAGCAAAGGCUUCUUUCAACCUUCCCCCAAGCUCCCAAUACAAGCCCAAAUUCUGGAACAAGUCCUUUCCAACACCUCCUUCAGAGAAGCUCCCUGGCUCCAGGCAGUGCUUGCUCCCCUCACUGCAGCAGGAAGCCUAACUUGCGAACUGCAGGUGUGCUCCAGGUGGUCACUGGAUGCAAGGUAUUGACAGAUGGAUCCCAUUGAUACCCCCACUGCAUAACCAUGUAAGCCUAUCAUCCCCCACUUGCACAUGAGGAAACGGAGGUCCACAGGGUGGGGAAGGGAAGACAUAAUUUGUCCUUCAAAUGCGAUACCGGUGAGAUGUGAGAGGCAGCAUCCCUCAUAACUCAGCAAGGCAGUGGGCACACUAGGACCCUCCCAGGCAGAUCGGGUGCGUGGUCGCCCCCAUUGCAUAGCAUGGGUGGGAGUUGGGGAGACCAGACAUGGGUCUCACCACCUCUGCACUGGCCCGACCUCUCUGCAGGCCCCCAGGACAGGGUUAGCAUCUGCUUGCUGGCAGGCCUGGCCACCAGAAGUAUUUGCUUAUGUCUAAGGUCCCUGUAGUUGUGGUUCACAGGAUUGGGGCUGCUCCUGAGAUUCAGCACCACACAGGCACUGCAUGGAACUGUGCUAUGGUGGUGGGCACUCGCUUUCCAGAUAGGGCCCAUGUUGCCAGCAGGCAUGAUGCAUCAUUUACCCUACCCUGAGUGCAAUAUGUGGUUUUAUAGAAAAAAACUUGGGCCAGAUGCGGUGGCUCACACCUGUAAUCCCAGCAGUUUAGGAGGCCAAGGUAGGCGGAUCAAAAGGUCAGGAACUCAAGACCAGCCUGGCUAAUAUAGUGAAACCUUGUCUCUAUGAAAAAUACAAGAAUUAGCCAGAUGUGGUGGUGGGCACCUGUAGUCCCAGCUACACCGGAUACUCCGGAGGCUGAGGCAGGAGAAUCGCUUGAACCCAGGAGGCAGAAGUUGCGGUGAGCCAAGAUCAUGCCACUGCACUCCAGCCUAGGCGACAGAGCAAAACUCCUUCUCAAAAAAAAAAAAAAAAAAAAAAAAAAGAAAGAAAAGGAAAAGUAUUUGUAGAUGAAUGAAGGUGAUUCCUUUGAAUAUUGAAAAUGAUUUUAUUUUAGCCAUUGGUCUGACACUCAUUCCGAUGGGGUGACAUGUGUCCCUGCCUUAGUCAUCAGAGCACAGGAGUUUGCUACACCUCCCCUCAUCUGAAGAUUCAGCCCAUGAGCAGGAACGCCUGUCUUUGUGUCAUACCAACAGAGAGGAUGUGUCUGGUUUCACCAUUCACUGCAGAGGCAGAAAUUACCCAGAAAGAAGAGACAGUCUGUUCCCGGGAGUGUGUCCUUUUGACCCCGCAUGGGGGUCAUCUCCCUUCCUUGGCCAGGACCCCCAACCUGAACACAGAGGUAGAGAACAUGUGAAGGGCUCCCAUUCCCAGGUGGUCCAGGGUGCAAGCUCUGAGCCUGUGGUCCUGGUCACUGCCCUUUUCUCCACAGCAUGGCAGUCACCAUCCUGGGCUGGGGUACAGAGGGGCUUUGCAGAGAUCAGCAUAACAAAAGCAUCACUGAGAUGCUGCAAUAGGAAACCGUGAUACCUUCGUGGGCUGCCAAGGCAGCCUAAGCUAUUUGUUGCUGCACUCAGUGUCCCCAGACAGCUGUGUGGCUGUCACUGCCUCUGAUGUGUCCAUUUUACUUCUCUUCUCCUGCCUCAGCUUCUGCUCUGAACUCUGUCUCUAACUUACAAGAAAUCAAGCUCACUGGAUUCUGAGCUCUUCGGGGUCAAGGACUGUGUCAGUAGUUCAUGUCUCUUUCUAGAGAUCACAGCUUAGUAUCUGGCACAGAGCAGAUACUCAGCCAAUGCCAAAUGAUUCAUUUGCCAGAAGGCUGAAUAUCAUCCAUAAUCCUAGUCAAUGCAAAUACAUUUUGCCGGUGGGGUGUGUUUGUCCUCUGAAGGCGUUUUCCCAGGCUUUGUAAAUACAUACAGGCCAUUUAGAAAUUUGAAUGUCAAAGAGUAAAGGAGCUUAGAAAGUAAGCAUUGGAGAAGUGUGGGAGGGUGGUAUUAUUUACAAAACAUUCCUGGGUCCUUGUGAGUUCUAUACACCCUUGAUGAGCACUGAUUCUGGGCCAGGCCAGACACCCAGCUGGACCCAGGAGAUACUGAGGUGAGUAAAGCCAAAAUGCCUCCAUUCAGCAGGAGGCGGGCAGUCACACCAAAGUGAUAAAGGCACAAAAUGCAGAGGCAGCAGAGGAGCAAUGACUACCUUGUUCCAGGACUCUGUGACCUCAGGGAGAGCUUUCAGAGGAGGACAUCUGUGCAAGGCUUGGAAGGAUGAACACAAAUUUGCCUAGCAGAAAAGGGAGCCAAGCAAAUCCUGAUGGAGAACAGCUUGGGUGAGAGUGUGAGCCACAGGAUUGAGGGGCUCAGGCAUGUAACUGGAGGAGCAGAAAGAAUGAGGGGAGAUAAAGUUGGGAGGUCAGCAGAGGUCAGUCACAGAAGGUUUUGAAUCCUGGUGAGGAAGCAAUGGGUGCUGCACAAGGGACAUGGGCCUGGAGGAGAUGCAGUUAGCUCUGAGUGAAGAUGGAGCAUGCCAUCCACCAGGGAACCACAAGAUGCAAUAGAAAUAAGAACCCUGAGAAGCCUGCACAAAGAAUGAGGGGCCCAGGGGUAGCACCAAGAAGGUCCCUGUCAGAGGCCAGCUUUGAACGGAGACAGAAAAGACUCUUGAGGGCCUCAGCUGCUGCAAACCUCCUCAAUAAAUCAUAUUUUACCUUCCAAUAUUUGCUAAAGAAUACUAACUAUUGGAAGAGCAAUGGCCCAUUGAUAAUAAUUAUUCCCUCAAUGUACAUUUUUUACAAUUCUCAAAAUGCUCUCGGUCCAGUCUCUCAUUGGAACCCCCAUAAAAUCCCAUUUUACAAAUAGGGAAAUGAGGCCCUGUGAUGUCACACCGAGGUUUGCAGCAGUUCCAGGAUAGAAAAUAGGAAGCACUUUCAUCUCAGCCCUGGGUAUAAGUCUCAAAAUUCCUUUUCGGGGAGGGGAUCCUUGAGGCCAUCCAGCAGCCCAUAGUCCAAGUCUUUUUCUUCCUCCUUGGGCUUCUCCACACCUGUAUCCAAAGCUUCCUUCUCCUCCUUUGUUCUCAGGUACCACUACCAGUUGUUGGGCAGGGAGACCUCCUGCUGCUGCCCAUCCUAUGUUGCAUCCUCCAACAUGGGUGCACUGUGGUUCAGCCAGCACCUAUACCACCUGCAGCCCAGGGCUCCUGUGGUGGGCCUGAGGUUCCUCCCUAUCAAAUGGAGAUAUGCUGGGGUUGCUGCCUUUGCUGAAGCCCAUGUCCAGGUCAUCUUGGGGGUGGCCAAGGUUACAGGGUCCUGGGGACAGGCCAGAGGGCUGCAGGAGCAAAAACCAAGAGGAUGAGGGGAUCUGUGAGACAGACCGCCUGAAUCCACAUCCUAGAGACUAGGUGCAAGGCCUGGGGAAGACUGGUUCACCUCUCUGGGCGUCAGUUUCCUCCCCUGUAAAGUGGGAGUUAUAACAGAUUCACUCCUACAGUUGUCUCUGAGCUUUAUGGCAGGUAAUGUGUGCAAAGUACUUCGCACAAGGCCUGGCACAUGGUAGGUGAUAAAUAAUAAACAGGGUUACUAUGAUAUCAUCAUCUGAGCUAGGUCACUCAUGCACUUCUCCAAUGCUUCAGGGUGCCCCUCCAUCCCUCACAGGGUAGCAGCAAGUGCUACCCCAGCAGGAUGUGAUAAGGAAGUCAGGCGGUUGGGGAGGAUGUUUCUCGCAGCCCAAACCCCAGUGGAAUGUUUCCCUCUGAACAGGGUCUGUGAAAUGGUGGGGGCUUACAAAUCGGUGCAGCUUGGACUAACAGGCUCCGGCGGCCACUUUGUUUUCUGGACAUGCUUUGGACUGUGAGCCGAGCCUCUAUGAAUCAUCACUUCAGCCUCUGAUUGGUCCUGGGCCAAACUUUCACUUCAGCCCCUGAUUGGUCUUGGGCCAAAAUUUCACUUCAGCCUCUGAUUGGUCCCAGGCUAAGGUCCCGGGCCAAGCGAAGUCGUGCUAUCUCCAAGACAGCUCACAGACCAGUGAGCACAUUCUUCCUCUUCCCAGUUCACAAAACCCCCAGAUUCAGCCUCCUAGUUGGCAACCCUCUUUCGGGUCCCCUCUCUGCUGGGGAGAGCUUUCUUCUUUUGCUUAUUAAACUUCUGUUCCAAACUCA